UACAGAGGGUGCAAGCGUUAAUCGGAAUUACUGGGCGUAAAGCGUGCGCAGGCGGUUUUGUAAGCCAGAUGUGAAAGCCCCGGGCUCAACCUGGGAAUGGCAUUUGGGACUGCAAGGCUGGAGUUUGGCAGAGGAGACUGGAAUUCCCGGUGUAGCAGUGAAAUGCGUAGAUAUCGUGAGGAAGACCAGUGGCGAAGGCGGAUCUCUGGACAGUUCCUGACGCUGAGGCGCGAAGGCCAGGGGAGCAAACGGG
Molecule: ribosomal RNA, 253 nt
Filed under: uncultured bacterium
Lineage: Bacteria
Description: partial 16S ribosomal RNA
Rfam family: Bacterial small subunit ribosomal RNA
Source: RNAcentral